Molecule: ribosomal RNA, 497 nt
Filed under: uncultured bacterium
Lineage: Bacteria
Description: partial 16S ribosomal RNA
Rfam family: Bacterial small subunit ribosomal RNA
Source: RNAcentral
GAUGAACGCUGGCGGCAUGCCUAACACAUGCAAGUCGAACGGACGGAUGAGAAGCUUGUGGCGGUCGGGUUAGCGACGGGCGGGAGAGUGACACGUGGAUGGGCAACCUAUAUGACGAGGGUUACUACGACAAACCAGAGCUAAUAGCAGAGAAUAUUAUCAACCGCAGGAGGCAAACGUGAAUGACGGUCUUGCUGUUACGGAGAGAUGUUACCGCGCUGCAUUAGCUAGUUGGUAAGGUAAGGGCUUACCAAGGCAACGAUGCAUAGCCGACCUGAGGGGGUGAUCGGCCACACUGGAACUGAGACACGGUCCAGACUCCUACGGGAGGCAGCAGUAGGGAAUUUUGGGCAAUGGGCGCAAGCCUGAUGCAGCAAUGCCGCGUGGGUGAAGAAGGCCUUCGGGUCGUAAAGCUCUGUUAUUAGGGAAGAACAUCUGCGUAUCUAACUGAGGAAAUAUUGACGGUACCUAAUGAAUAAGCACCGGCUAACUACGUG